ACAAAUCCGAUUGUUUGCAUCUUGCGAUUUAUUUUGCUAGGGUUCAGUUGCUUUUGGUUUUCUUUCUUUUCCCCUUUACAGUUUUAUUGUCUAAUUUAUUCAUUUUUUGUUUUGUAUAAAGAUCAAAAAUGUGAUCAAUGGGUGUGGCAGUGGGAGCUCAUGACUAUUGAAACCGUUAUUUUGUAGAUUUGUGGCCUUGAUAGUAAAGUCAUGAGAGAUAUAAUAAAUCGAAAUAAAGUGAAUAUGAUCAAGCACAUAAUGAGAACAAAUAUUAAGAAUUAAGAUAAUGAAAUAAAGUAUCCAUAUAAAGGGAGAAUCGGCUGGUGUACGAAAUCGUGAAGAAACACUAUGGGGAUCUUGGUAUGAAAUCAAAAGAUGCAAUAGGUUGAUGAGAAGGCUUCUGUUAAAAAGAACGAAGAAUCUAGCAGUGAAACAGUUUGACAUUUCAUGUGAUCACUAUUUGAAAAUAUGGCUAUGUCGAGAUCUACAAGAGUGUGAAGGUGUUACAGUGAAGAAGCAGUUUCGCUGUUUUUGGCCCAACAAGUCUUUCAUUCUAAUUUCUGUUCUCUCGCUAUGGCAUAUGGUCAUCAACACCAAGAUCAAAGCUGUUGUCACUCUCGCAUAUGGUCUUCAAUACGUAUGGUGGUUUACUCUAUGCUUUAAUUAAGACAAAUGGAAAGAUGAUGUUCUUACGACGGUAUUUUUCAUAGUUCAUGAGUGUUUUUUUCUCGCUCAGAUUCUCCACUUUUACUGACCACCGUUCUCUGUUUUUCUACAACUAUUCUACACAAGAGGUACUCACAACGAUAAAUCCAUGAGGUUCUUAUAGUGUUUUGAUUGA
Papaver somniferum (opium poppy) is the source of this 841-nucleotide long non-coding RNA. RefSeq lists it as uncharacterized. The record is from RefSeq and is a predicted model, not a curated record. NCBI's taxonomy places the organism in Eukaryota, Viridiplantae, Streptophyta, Magnoliopsida, Ranunculales, Papaveraceae. The transcript is spliced from 5 exons.